This 1503-nucleotide long non-coding RNA is filed under the name Cyanistes caeruleus (blue tit). RNAcentral describes it as "lncRNA (ENSCCEG00000004359.1)". Lineage: Eukaryota; Metazoa; Chordata; Aves; Passeriformes; Paridae. The record is from RNAcentral.
UUUUGGGAUCCUAGAGGGGUAUGGGAUGGCUGUUGGGGUGCUGAGGGCGUUUGGGAUGGGUUUUGGGGGUCCCAGGGCUGUGUUUGGGGUCCCAGGGCUGUGUUUGGGGUCCCAGGGCUGUUUUUGGGGUGUGUUUGGGGUCCCAGGGCUGUUUUGGGGUCCCAGGGCUGUUUUUGGGGUGUGUUUGGGGUGUCAGGGCUGUUUUGGGGUGUCAGGGCUGUUUUUGGGGUCCCAGGGCUGUUUUUGGGGUGUCAGGGCUGUUUUUGGGGUGUGUUUGGGGUCCCAGGGCUGGUUUUGGGGUCCCAGGGCUGUUUUUGGGGUGUCAGGGCUGUUUUUGGGGUGUGUUUGGGGUCCCAGGGCUGUUUUGGGGUCCCAGGGCUGUUUUUGGGGUGUGUUUGGGGUGUCAGGGCUGUUUUGGGGUGCCAGGGCUAUUUUUGGGGUGUCACCCCGCAGGUCUCAGACCGCAUGGGGCUCCUGCCCCACCUUUACCGCGACUUCGACAAAGCCAAAUUCGCCGCCUUCUGCCGGAGGGUGGCGGCAGGUGGGGACAGAACUGCCCGGGAAUGUCCCCUUGUCACCUGUCCUUGUCCCCUUGUCACCUGUCCCUGUCACCUGUACCUGUCACCUGUCACCUGUCACCUGUCCCUGUCACCUGUCCCUGUCCCUGUCACCUGUCACCUGUCCUUGUCCCCUGUCCCUGUCCCUGUCACCUGUCCCUGUCACCUGUCCUUGUCACCUGUCCCUGUCCCUGUCACCUGUCACCUGUCCUUGUCACCUGUCCCUGUCCCCUCGUCCCUGUCCCCCGUGUCCCUAUUUGUCUCUGUUUGUCCCUGUCCCCUUUUCCUUGUCCCCCUUGUCACCUGUUUGUCCCUGUCCCAUUUGUCCCUGUCCCUUGUCCCUUCUCCCUGUCCCUGUCCCCAUCCCCCGUUUGUCCCUUUGUCCCUCCCGCUGCCACUCCCCUGUCCCCUCCCAGCCGCUCUUUGUCCCCAAGGAGCGACCUCUGCCCUCCUCGGGCUGGGGACACCCAGGUGCCACCUCCUGUCCGGGGGGGUGGCACUGAGGGCUGUCCCCGUGUCCCCAGGGUGAUGCCGAGGGUUGUCCCCAUGUCCCUGGGGUGGCACUGAGGGAUGUCCCCAUGUCCCUGGGGUGGCACUGAGGGAUGUCCCCACAUCCCUGGGGUGAUACCAAGGUGUCCCCAUGUCCCCCCUUGGGUGCCACCGAGGUGUCCCCAUGUCCCUAUGGUGACACUGAGGUGUCCCCACGUCCCUGUGGUGGCACUGAGGUGUCCCCCUGCCCUGGGGGUGGCACUGAGGGAUGUCCCCGUGUCCCCAGGGUGACACUGAGGGUUGUCCCCAUGUCCCCGGGGUGCCACCGAGGUGUCCCCAUGUCCCUGUGGUGGCACUGAGGUGUCCCCAGUGUGCCACUGAGGUGUCCCCAUGUCCCCAGGGUGACACCGAGGGUUGUCCCCAUGUCCCUGGGGUGGCACUGAGGGAUGUCCCCAUG